Molecule: ribosomal RNA, 253 nt
Filed under: uncultured bacterium
Lineage: Bacteria
Description: partial 16S ribosomal RNA
Rfam family: Bacterial small subunit ribosomal RNA
Source: RNAcentral
UACGGAGGGGGCUAGCGUUAUUCGGAAUUACUGGGCGUAAAGCGCACGUAGGCGGAUUGGAAAGUUGGAGGUGAAAUCCCAGGGCUCAACCUUGGAACUGCCUUCAAAACUCCCAGUCUUGAGGUCGAGAGAGGUAAGUGGAAUUCCGAGUGUAGAGGUGAAAUUCGUAGAUAUUCGGAGGAACACCAGUGGCGAAGGCGGCUUACUGGCUCGAUACUGACGCUGAGGUGCGAAAGCGUGGGGAGCAAACAGG